AGCAGCCGCGGUAAUUCCAGCUCCAAUGGCGUAUAUUAAAGUUGUUGCAGUUAAAAAGCUCGUAGUUGAAUUUCGGGAUCAAUAUUUCGGUCAUGCCGUUGGUAUGCACUGUUAUCAUUGAUUUCUCACCUUCUAAAGAACCGUAAUGCCAUUAAUUUGGUGUUACGGGGAAUUAGGACUGUUACCUUGAAAAAUUGAGUGUUUAAAGCAGGCUCACGCUUGAAUACGUUAGCAUGGAAUAAUGAAAUAGGACGUUUGAUUCUAUUUUGUUGGUUUCUAGGAUCGACGUAAUGAUUAAUAGGGAUAGUUGGGGGCAUUAGUAUUCAAUUGUCAGAGGUGAAAUUCUUGGAUUUAUUGAAGACUAACUACUGCGAAAGCAUUUGCCAAGGAUGUU
Molecule: ribosomal RNA, 394 nt
Filed under: uncultured Glomeromycotina
Lineage: Eukaryota; Fungi; Glomeromycota
Description: SSU rRNA
Rfam family: Eukaryotic small subunit ribosomal RNA
Source: RNAcentral